GACGAACGCUGGCGGCGUGCCUAACACAUGCAAGUCGAGCGCUGAAGGUUGGUACUUGUGCUAUGCUGGUGUGCAGCGAACGGGUGAUUAACGAGAGGGAAAUCCCCCUUCGAGCGGGGGACAACACUUGCAAACGAACGCAUAUACCGCAUAAAAACUUUAUACACAAGUUCUAAGUUUGAAAGCUGCAAUUGCAUCACUCAAACAUGAUCCCGCGUUGUAUUAGCUAGUUGGUGAGGUAAAGGCUCACCAAGGCGAUGAUACAUAGCCGACCUGAGAGGGUGAUCAGCCACACUGGGACGGAGACACGGCCCAAACUCAUAGGGGAGGCAGCAGUAGGGAAUCUUGGGCAAGAGACGAAAGUCUGUCCGAGAGACGCCGCAUGAGUGAAGAAGGUUUCCGGAUCGUAAAACUCUGUUGGUAGGGAAGAACGUUGGUUAGACUGGAAAGCUCAUCAAGUGACGGUAACUAGCCAGAAAGCGACGGCUAACUACGUG
Molecule: ribosomal RNA, 497 nt
Filed under: uncultured bacterium
Lineage: Bacteria
Description: partial 16S ribosomal RNA
Rfam family: Bacterial small subunit ribosomal RNA
Source: RNAcentral